AUUGAACGCUGGCGGCAUGCUUUACACAUGCAAGUCGGACGGCAGCACAGAGAAGCUUGCUUCUUGGGUGGCGAGUGGCGAACGGGUGAGUAAUAUAUCGGAACUUACCGAGUAAAGGGGGAGAACUAAUCGAAAGAUUAGCUAAUACCGCAUAUUCUCUGAGGAGGAAAGCAGGGGACCUGCGGGCCUUGCGUGAUGCGAGCGGCGGAUAUCUGAGUAGCUAGUUGGUGGGGUAAAGGCCUACCAAGGCGACGAUCAGUAGCGGGUCUGAGAGGAUGAUCCGCUACCCUGGCACUGAGACUCGGCCCCCACUCCGGCGGUAGGCAGCAGUCGGGAAUUUUGCGCGAUGGGCGCGAGCCUGAUCCAGCCCUGCCGCGUGUCUGAAGAUGGCGUUCGGGUUGUAAAGGACUUUUGUCAGGGAAGUUAAGGCUGUUGCUAAUAUCGACAGCUGAUGACGGUACCUGAAGAAUAAGCACCGGCUAUCUCCGUG
This 490-nucleotide ribosomal RNA is filed under the name uncultured bacterium. Its description in RNAcentral is "partial 16S ribosomal RNA". It matches the Rfam family "Bacterial small subunit ribosomal RNA", at positions 30 to 507 of the family's 1533-position model. The record is from RNAcentral.